Molecule: ribosomal RNA, 751 nt
Filed under: Bacillus sonorensis
Lineage: Bacteria; Bacillati; Bacillota; Bacilli; Caryophanales; Bacillaceae
Description: bacterial SSU rRNA
Rfam family: Bacterial small subunit ribosomal RNA
Source: RNAcentral
GGCUCAGGACGAACGCUGGCGGCGUGCCUAAUACAUGCAAGUCGAGCGAACCGACGGGAGCUUGCUCCCUUAGGUUAGCGGCGGACGGGUGAGUAACACGUGGGUAACCUGCCUGUAAGACUGGGAUAACUCCGGGAAACCGGGGCUAAUACCGGAUGCUUGAUUGAACCGCAUGGUUCAAUUAUAAAAGGUGGCUUUUAGCUACCACUUACAGAUGGACCCGCGGCGCAUUAGCUAGUUGGUGAGGUAACGGCUCACCAAGGCGACGAUGCGUAGCCGACCUGAGAGGGUGAUCGGCCACACUGGGACUGAGACACGGCCCAGACUCCUACGGGAGGCAGCAGUAGGGAAUCUUCCGCAAUGGACGAAAGUCUGACGGAGCAACGCCGCGUGAGUGAUGAAGGUUUUCGGAUCGUAAAACUCUGUUGUUAGGGAAGAACAAGUACCGUUCGAACAGGGCGGUGCCUUGACGGUACCUAACCAGAAAGCCACGGCUAACUACGUGCCAGCAGCCGCGGUAAUACGUAGGUGGCAAGCGUUGUCCGGAAUUAUUGGGCGUAAAGCGCGCGCAGGCGGUUUCUUAAGUCUGAUGUGAAAGCCCCCGGCUCAACCGGGGAGGGUCAUUGGAAACUGGGGAACUUGAGUGCAGAAGAGGAGAGUGGAAUUCCACGUGUAGCGGUGAAAUGCGUAGAGAUGUGGAGGAACACCAGUGGCGAAGGCGACUCUCUGGUCUGUAACUGACGCUAGCGCG